This 618-nucleotide long non-coding RNA is filed under the name Mytilus galloprovincialis (Mediterranean mussel). Lineage: Eukaryota; Metazoa; Mollusca; Bivalvia; Mytilida; Mytilidae. The record is from RNAcentral.
GUGUUGAGGAAAAGAGUGUCAUUGCUAUGUCACAUGUUGGUGUUGACUAUAAGAGUGUCAUUGAUAUGUCUCAUGUUGGUGUUGACUAUAAGAGUGUCAUUGCUAUGUCACAUGUUGGUGUUGACUAUAAUAGUGUCAUUGCUAUGUCACAUGUUAGUGUUGACUAUAAGAGUUGCAUUGCUAAGUGACAUGUUGGUGUUGACUAUAAGAGUGUCAUUGCUAUGUCACAUGUUGGUGUUGAGGUAAGAAGUGUCAUUGUUAUGUCACAUGUUAGUAUUGACUAUGAGAGUGUCAUUGCUAUGUCACAUGUUGGUGUUGACUAUAAGAGUGUCAUUGCUAUGUCACAUGUUGGUGUUGACUAAGAGUGUCAUUGAUAUGUCACAUGUUUGUGUUGACUAUAAGAGUGUCAUUGCUAAGUGACAUGUUGGUGUUGACUUUACGAGUGUCAUUGAUAUGUCAAAUGUUGGUGUUGAUUAUAAGAGUGUCAUUGAUAUGUCACACGUUGGUGUUGAGCAUAAGAGUGCCAUUGCUAUGUCACAUGAUGUAUGAUCAGGUGUCACAUGCCAUGUUCAGUACAAGAGUGGAAAAUGUAUGUUGUAUAAUCAGGUGUUACAUGUC